RNAcentral lists this ribosomal RNA (367 nucleotides) under uncultured bacterium. RNAcentral's name for it is "partial 16S ribosomal RNA". It matches the Rfam family "Bacterial small subunit ribosomal RNA", at positions 338 to 722 of the family's 1533-position model. The record is from RNAcentral.
CCUACGGGAGGCAGCAGUAGGGAAUAUUGCUCAAUGGGGGAAACCCUGAAGCAGCAACGCCGCGUGGGGGAUGACGGCUUUCUGAUUGUAAACCCCUUUUGUUAGGGAAGAUAAUGUCGGUAUCUAUCGAAUAAUCACCGGCUAACUCCGUUCCAUCCGCCGCGGUAAUACGGAGGGGGCAAGCGUUACUCGGAAUCUCUGGGCGUAAAGGGCGCGUAGGCGGGAUAGCAAGUUAGAUGGGAAAUCCUAUGGCUUUAACAUAGAAUGGCCUUUGAAACUGGUGUUCUAGAGUAUGGCCGAGGUAGGUGGAAUAAUUUGAGUAGGGGUGAAAUGCGUAGAGAUAAAGAAGAACACCGAUAGCGAAGGC